AUGAUUCUACACUUUUUAGUAUGCCAAAUUUAUGUUGAUGAUAUUAUAUUUGGAUUAACUAACCCUCAUUUUAGUGAGAAGUUUGGAAAACUAAUGUCGGAGAAGUUUGAGAUGUCAAUGAUGAGUGAACUCAAAUUCUUUCUUGGGUUGCAAAUCAAGCAAACUAAGGAAGGUACUUUUGUCUCUCAAACGAAGUACACUAAGGACUUAUUCAAGAAGUUCAAUAUGCAAGAAUGCAAAGGCAUGUCUGCACCCAUGCCUACUAGUGGACAUCUUGAUUUGACCAAAGAUGGUGAACCGGUUGAUCAAAAGGUUUAUCGCUCUAUGAUUGGUUCAUUCUUAUACCUUUGUGCUUCAUGUCCCGAUAUUAUGCUAAGUGUGUGCAUGUGUGAAAGAUAUCAGGCUGCUCCUAAAUAA
This 417-nucleotide ribosomal RNA is filed under the name Triticum aestivum (bread wheat). RNAcentral's name for it is "partial small subunit ribosomal RNA". Lineage: Eukaryota; Viridiplantae; Streptophyta; Magnoliopsida; Poales; Poaceae. The record is from RNAcentral.